GACAUUUCCUGAGUCGUCUUCGAACGGACAAGGCUGUAUCUUGCUCGGUGAUUUAUAGUCUUGUGUGUAGUUGUGCAACUUUCUUCCAUUGUUCUACAAGAAACACGAGCCAGAUACAGUCUCACCGUUUGAGAUGGCAUUGGAACGGGCGGAGGAACUUGCUGUUUGCAGCGAUGCUGGGCGUACCGCAGAAUUGGGGACCCCAUGUUCUAGUCUCUACACCUUUCAUUGGUUUGGUUUGUAAACUGUAUCGGAACCAAUGCAUUUCUAUUUGCAAUAUUUUUGUAAUAAUAUACCAAUCGAGUUCGUCAAACAAGUUAAAAGAGCGUUUGAUUCGAUAUUUUUUUUUUUUUCAGAAGUAUGGCGGUUUACGUAAAAAAAUGUGUACUUAUAUAGCUUAAAGAAAAUUUGUAUAGUCAAUUUAACCUUUAUAGAUUUAAAUAGCGUUUUAAAUGUUUACUUAAUGAUCGAAGAAUAAUUUUAUAUGUAGAUUUUGUACUUACUUAUAAAUGUUAAUUAACAGUUUUGUAAAUAUUGUGAUACAGCAAAACAGCAGCGGAAAAAAUAAAAAAGAAUGGUAAAAAUUAAAAAUGUUAAUAAUUUUCCUAUGAUUUUUAAAUCGCCAUAUUAAUGCCAAAAAUCCUUUUCAGUCCAGCAUACUACAUAAAAUUCUGUCGAACGCAAGAGUGUCCCGCACGUGUGUCCAGGCUGUUGGUCGUCAUCGGCGACACUAUUUGGCCUGUCUAUAUAUGAGAUAAGGAAUGGUGAGAGGAUUGGUAUGGGAUGAACAAAGGGGCAAAAUCUUUGUUUUUAGAAAUUUGCACACCACGAUCAAGUCGUACAUAAACGUCUUCUCAUGUUCGCGCUUCCGUAUCUUGAACAUCUGAGCAUCGACUAAUUCAAAAAUCAAUGUGAUGCGUGAUAUACAUAGGCUUACUGUGACAUACUGCAGCAACCUCGAGCAAGUUCUAUUUUGGUGAGCUAAUCCCUUCUGUUCGUUACCUGUGCAAAUAUAUUUUCUCAGGUCCAGAAAAAUUUUUCCAAUGUUUAUGCAACCGAGUUCUAUAUAUGGGUUUCCCUGGCUUAUUAAUAAAUCCUGUUCAAAGUUGAUCAAGCUGGAUACUAGACAUCAUAUAUAUUGUCCCAUUUGAAUUAAAAUGUAUAAAAGCUUCAAGGUAUGGAGUAAAUUAAAUGCAUCUUUGUUGAAUUUAGAUGAUCCAGUAAGGCGAGUUACUGCAAGUAGCACAACUAAUUUUAAUAAUAGGCAUGCAUAUAAAAUAUAAACAGCUCAAUUUGAAUAGGAAAUUGCUACAAAUUUUUUACUAUAUUAAAUAUAUUUUUUUGGGAAUCAUUACUAGAUACUUACUUUUCACAGAUUUUGAUAUUAUUUCGCUUACUCAUUGGGUCGUAGAGCAAGAAGAACUUAAUGUAUCAUUAGAUUAACAAAAAAAAUUCCUGAUAAGUGAUGUGCAACAGGGUUAUGGAAGUAAAGAGACCGAUUUAAUAUUACAGUUUAAUUGAUUUGAGAAAUACAUUGAGAAUUAACGAAUACUCUGAAAAAAUUUUUUAAUAAUAGUAGGAAAGCAGUGAUCAAGGAUGAACAAGCAGGAUAUUUCUAAAUUAAAUUUUUAAGUAUAACAUGUAGAUAAUAUUUUUAUAUUUUGAUUUUAAAAAACAAAAUUAUGUUUAAUGUUUUUAAAUUCCAAGGAAGUACAUCAUCAAUGAUUCAAUUCUCGGAUGUUGGAAAUUGUUUACAAUUAAUUGUACAAUCAUAAUUAAGCAAGUUAAAGGUUUGAUUUGAAGUUUGUUCAAAGGAAUUUAAUUUCUUCUACACAUGGUUGCAAAUGCAAUGUGAAGUAUCAUGCUUUUAUAAUUGUUUUAAAUAUUUUUUCUUGAAAUAUUGUGGUUCGGGUGUUUGUUUUGUACUGCAGGAAUACCCAAUUUCGUAAUCAUGGUGUACAACUAAACAACUACAAGCAGUUAUUUCUAUUCCUGGAGCAUGUUGGAUUCGUAUUGCAAAGUGGUAUGUUGAUUAGAAUGAUCUAGUUCCGAGUUGUAGGGGUGGGAGGGAGUUACUAUGUUUCAGCUAAGCUUGGAUAGAGAAAAAAUCUAUUUAAUCGACGAGGUAUAUAAAGAUGUACUGAAAAUAUAUUUUGGUAACUCCUAAUUGGAUAAAUAUGAAUAAUUUUUUAAUCUUAAUAAAUAUCACAAUCUAUAUAUCUAUUUAUAUAACUGCAUUUUUGACAAGAAAUAUUGAUAAAAAAAAAAGGUAAAAAAAUCCGAUUUUUAAAAUAGAAAAGGUAUGUUUUGGUUGAAGGUAACAAUUUAAUAUGAUCAAUGAUUUGUAAUAAAUAGUUGAAAAAAACGAGAAAUAGGUGAAAUUAUUAUACUGUAAGCUGCAGGUUUGGUAUUAUAUUUAUCUUUCAUCAUAAUGGAUGCUAUAUUAUCGAUGACAUUUUAUAAUAAUGGAGAUAUAUCCUAUAUUAUAUCUGCAAUACCAGGAAAUAAUUCUACAAUUUCAACUAUUUGAACUAUUCACAAUUAUAAUAGAUAAACAUGAUGCAAUAUAUUUCAUUCGGCUGAAGAAGAAAUUCAAUUGACAAUGGAAACAGAUUUCUGCUAAAAGAAGAGUAAAACUGAUUGUAAUAUAUAUCAUUGUUUACUAUUUUACGUUUAACUAUUUUAGAUCUACAAAAAUUGACAUUUCAUUUUAAUAAAUGUAUUUUAAAAUUACAUUUGACCUUGAUAUUUUUAUAAUUUAUCAAGACAUAGGUAUAGGACAUAGGUCUAGGAAAAAGGAGACAAAGGAAUAAAGCUGCCGAUGGUUUUAUUUUUUCACAAUGAGAAAAAGGCGGAUUAGUAUAUAUUUCAAAUAAUUUAAAUAUAAAAUUAGUUAUAGCAUGUUAAUAAGCAUGGUAGUGUUAUAUUCAUAGAAAUGCUCAAAUUAUCGUUAUUUAAAUAUACCUGUUUUGGCUCUUUUGGAUGUUUGUGAUUUUUGCUUCAGGAAAUCGAAGAUAAUUUUAUUCUUAUAUGAAUUUUAUGAUAAAUUUUCUAUUCUAUGGAGAAAAAUGCUAUGAAAUACACCUGAAUAUGUAUGUAUUAUAUAAAUAUUAUUUUUAUUAUAUUUAGAAAACGAUGCCGGAUAUAUGAACAGUAUAAAUAUAAAGCUUAUAUUCAAGAUAACAACGGGGUGAAUAACUAUCGAUAUUUGAUAUAUUUAUGAAGAUAAGUUUUCAAUUAUAUUUAAAUAUGAUAAUAUAUAAGUUGAAAUAAAUUUUUAUUGAAAUUUUUUAUUUAAAAGAAAAAGAUGAAGGAUUAAAUUACUAACUUUAUAGUAUCUAGAUACAUUUCAGAAAAUUUGUGAUAUAGAAAAAAAUUUUCUAAAUGGAAGAGAGGUCAUUGUUAUAUCAUCUUAGCCGAGAUUUGAUUAAGACUUGGCUGAAUCUAAAUUUAUUUUAGAUAAUAAAAAAAGUAUGUGUCAGGUAAAUUAAAUGUUCAAAAAACUUACAUAUUUUAAAAAUGUAUUUAAAAUAUGUUGUUAAAAAUAACUUCGGUUAUAUCAAGAUUAUAGUUUAUCUAAAUUGAUGAACAUGAGUUUUCAUUUUCGAUUUUACUUUUUGAAGAAAAUAUCGAAUAUUAAAUCGAAUAUAUCUAUUCAAGAAAAAUUUAAAUCAAGAUAAAUUGUUACAACUUGAAAUGCUGAUUACGUUCAAUUAAAUGGAUCAUUGGAUAAUUGAAAUAUAUUCGACAAGAUUUUUAAAUUAAUAACUUUAUAAAUCUCUCCUAAUUAGAAAAGAAAUAUAAAUGUUCUUUUUUUUUUUAUUGAGAAAUGAUUUUAAAUCUAAUAAAUAAUGAUCUGAAAUUAAUUCGAGUAAAAUCUGUCGUACAUACAACAAUUGAAGAUUUUGAAUGUAAAAAAAAUUGACGCAAAAUUAAAAUAGGAUUUAAUUUUUCAUUAAAAAAUUUAAUGAUGAGUGUACAUUUUCAGAACAUAUUUGAAAAUAUUUAAAAAAAUAUAUAUAUAUAAAAUUGAAGUAAUUUUCUUUGUAAUAAAAAAUAAUAUAAAGUGAAUAGAAUAAUAGAAAUACAAAUAGUAAUCUAUAACAUCUGACAUAGUUCGAAUUAUUAAAAAUGAUUAUAUUCUUCAAAAAACAUAACCUUAAGUUAGUAUUAAAUCAAUAUUAAAAUACAAGUUUCAAUUUGAAUAUAAUUAAAAAACUAUACUAUCAUAAAAACAUAGAAGAAAAACAAAGUUGAUUAUAAUGUAUUGUGAAAGUAAUAUAUAACAAUAAUAAUUUAAGAUAUGAAAAUUUAUAUUGAUAUUCGAAAAAUUUAAAUUGCAUUCACUACAUAUUAUUUCGUAAAAUUGUAGAAGAGAAUCAACGUGGGAUUUUAUGGUAUAUCUACUACAUUGUGAGUACUACAAAGUUCUUUUGAAGGAGAUAUAGAUCUAAUUGGUUGAUUAUGAUAACUACACAUUCACAAAAAUAAAUAUGAAAUAAAUGCCAAAUAUAUAAUAUAUGUUGAUGAAUAAAAGAUACGAGUAUUUAGUUUUGCUUGCGAGCAAAAGGCAAAAUAGCUUUUUGCAAUUUCAACGAAUAGAUGCAAAUUUUAAUAAUAGAAGAUGCUACCAAUUAAAUAAAUUUAAAAUUAUUAAUGGAGAACUUUAGAGAAACAAUAAGAUUUUAUAAAAUCCAAAUGAAAAUAUUAUCGCGAAACUAAAUGGCAUUCAAAAAAAAUUAUCAAUGUGAAUUUUUAUAGAAUUUAAAAAAAUGCUAUUAAUAUGGAUCUUUAUAGGAUUCAAAGGAGACUCGAUACGAGUCUUUCUAGGAUUCAAAGAUUAUCAACGUAGGAUUCAGAAGAAAUUAUCACAGGAUUUCGAAGGAUUUAAAGAAGACUAUCAACGCGGGACUUCAUGAAAUUCAGAAGAUCGACUCAGGAUUUCGUGAGAUUCGGAAAAGGUUACUGAUGCGGGACUUCGUGGGAUUCAAAAAACUAUCAACGCGGGACUUUGUGGGAUUCGAAGAAAGACUAUCAACGUGGGACUUCGUGGGAUUCAAAGAAGACUAUCAACGCCGGACUGUGGGAUUCCAAGAAGACUAUCAACGUGGGACUUCGUGGGAUUUAAAGAAGAGUAUCGACGUGGGACUUCGUGGGAUUCAAAGAGGACUAUCGACGUGGGACUUCGUGGGAUUCAAAGAAGACUAUCGACGCGGGACUUCGUGGGAUUCAAAGAAAACUAUCAACGCCGGACUGUGGGAUUCAAAGAAGACUAUCAACGCUGGAUCGAAGGAUUCAAAGAAGACUAUCAACGUGGGACUUCGUGGGAUUCAAAGAAGACUAUCAACAUCGGACUGUGGGAUUCAAAGAAGAUUAUCAACGUGGGACUUCGUGGGAUUCAAAGAAGAUUAUGAACGCAGAACUUUGUGGGAUUCAAAGAAGAUCAUCAAUACGGUUUAAUGAAAUUUCAUGAUAAAUUAUUAAUGCGGGAUUUUAUAGGAUUGUAGGAAAGCGCCUUCGUAUUCAAAAAAAGACUUCGAUGAAAUUUGUAAUCCAAAAAACCGUCAUUGCCAGAUAUCAUGAAAUUCAAAAGGAAUAUUAAAAAAAGAUUUAAUGAAAUUUAAAUAUUAGCGAGAUAAAUUUUUAAAGAUAUAAAAAAUUAUUGAAAUUGGAAUUAGAAACAAAUCUCAAAUUCUGAUAUUUGAAACUUAUUACCAAAUACAAGUGUGUUACUUAAUGAAUUUUCUAAAGAAAGGAUCUGCUUAUUUCUAUUUUAUUCACAUAUUUAUGAUAUUGCUAUAUUAACUGAUUCAUAUGCUAUGAUAAUAUAUUCAACGAAAUUAGGAAACUAUGUGAAUGUGAAAUAGAAAUAAAAAUUAUGAUAAAUAGAUUUUUUUUCGUAAUCGAUUAUCAAUCAUUCAAAUAUAGUUAUGUAUCUUUUUUAAUUUUUAUUAAUAAAAUUUUAGUAAUUGUUUUAUAUUUGUAAAAUAUAUGGAAAUUUUAUUCUUUCCAACUUUUAUUUUAUCAAGAUAUCACGAAUAAAACGUAAUAAGACAUAAAUAUUUAUUUUUCAAAAAAUGCUAUUGAUAAAUUUCUAUCUUAACAAAUCGAUAUUGCAUAUUAUGCGAGUCUAUACAAGUAAAAUGUUAAACAUGUAAAUUUUUUAUCUUGAAUAUCGUGAUAUCUUAUUUCCAAUAGCUUAAUUCAGAAAAGAAUUGCUUGGCAAUCGUGAAUCCAUAUUUUUUAACUAUUGGUAGAAUGUAAGAUGUUAAAUAUAUAAAUAUGUACAUACUGUAAAUUGAAAACUAAUUUGGAUUGUUACGGAAUUUAAAAAUAGUUUUAUUAUUAAAAAGUUUUUUUAAUUAAAAAUAUUUUUUAAAUUUCAUAUGUGAAAUAACUGCGAUAAUAAAAUAAAAAUAUUAAACAAAUUGAUUUAUAGAAAAUUAUAUUUCGCUGAUAAUAAAUUAAAAUAAUAGUUUCAAAUAUUAAUAAUAUUCAAUCGAGUAGAAUAAAUUUUUUAAUGGACUAUAUAUUUUGAAGUAUCUUUCACAUAAAAAAUUAGAAUUUUUGGUAUUUCAUAUAAUUUAAAAUAGAUAUAUGACAAGAUUUAUAUUUAAUUUAAUAAAAAUUUGAUGAAAUUCCUAGAUUUUAAAAAUAAUUUCUUUAAUAUAAUUCCACAUUUGUCAAUCAAUUAUAAAUAAAAAUAUAAAAUAAAUUAACAAAUUUUAACAAAUUAAUGAUCAAAUAAAAUUUUGAACUUUGAAACUUGUACAGCUCUAAAUCGCACUA
RNAcentral lists this unclassified non-coding RNA (6789 nucleotides) under Apis mellifera (honey bee). RNAcentral describes it as "AncR-1". Lineage: Eukaryota; Metazoa; Arthropoda; Insecta; Hymenoptera; Apidae. The record is from RNAcentral.